UUGAUUUUAAUUUUAAGUUUAAAUAGACCGACUCAGUCUUGAUCCCUUAUUCUGCUUACUUUACAUACCGAUAUCUAGGCGAAUUAGCCAGACAUGCUAAAUGAACAAGAAUACAUAUCAUGCAUAAACAGACUCAUUCCAGGCAGAUAAUAUAGAUAAAUAAUAAAACAAAACAUUAAAUAAUGAUUAAAGAACCUGA
RNAcentral lists this long non-coding RNA (199 nucleotides) under Lathyrus oleraceus (garden pea). Its description in RNAcentral is "Pisum sativum (pea) long non-coding RNA (PSAT_LNC019554)". The record is from RNAcentral. Lineage: Eukaryota; Viridiplantae; Streptophyta; Magnoliopsida; Fabales; Fabaceae.